UUAAUACAUAGAUCAAAUUUGCAAAUUUUUAAAAAAUUUAAAAAUUAUUUAAUAAAUGAUUUUAUAAUUAUCCGUUAAUUUAAAUUAAUGAAAUAAAAUAUCAAAUAAUUUUUAAAUUUUUUAAAAAUUUACAGACUUAAUAUAUACAUUAA
Molecule: microRNA precursor, 152 nt
Filed under: Cajanus cajan (pigeon pea)
Lineage: Eukaryota; Viridiplantae; Streptophyta; Magnoliopsida; Fabales; Fabaceae
Description: miRNA gene-KK1_050292
Source: RNAcentral